RNAcentral lists this ribosomal RNA (253 nucleotides) under uncultured bacterium. RNAcentral's name for it is "partial 16S ribosomal RNA". It matches the Rfam family "Bacterial small subunit ribosomal RNA", at positions 524 to 776 of the family's 1533-position model. The record is from RNAcentral.
UACGAGGGGGGCGAGCGUUGUUCGGAAUUAUUGGGCGGAAAGGGUGCGUAGGCGGCCUGACAAGUCUGAUGUGAAAUCCCUGGGCUCAACCCAGGGCCUGCAUCGGAAACUGUCGGGCUUGAGUAUGGGAGAGGUGAGUGGAAUUUCCGGUGUAGCGGUGAAAUGCGUAGAUAUCGGAAGGAACACCUGUGGCGAAAGCGGCUCACUGGACCAUUACUGACGCUGAGGCACGAAAGCGUGGGGAUCAAACAGG